CAGUGCCACGGGAAUACGUAGGGUGCAAGCGUUAAUCGGAAUUACUGGGCGUAAAGCGUGCGCAGGCGGUGUUGUAAGACUGAUGUGAAAUCCCCGGGCUCAACCUGGGAACUGCAUUGGUGACUGCAACGCUGGAGUGCGGCAGAGGGGGAUGGAAUUCCGCGUGUAGCAGUGAAAUGCGUAGAUAUGCGGAGGAACACCGAUGGCGAAGGCAAUCCCCUGGGCCUGCACUGACGCUCAUGCACGAAAGCGUGGGGAGCAAACAGGAUUAGAUACCCCCGUAGUCCCUGUCUCUUAUACA
Molecule: ribosomal RNA, 301 nt
Filed under: uncultured bacterium
Lineage: Bacteria
Description: partial 16S ribosomal RNA
Rfam family: Bacterial small subunit ribosomal RNA
Source: RNAcentral